AAAUUGAAGAGUUUGAUCAUGGCUCAGAUUGAACGCUGGCGGCAGGCCUAACACAUGCAAGUCGAACGGUAACAGGAAGAAGCUUGCUUCUUUGCUGACGAGUGGCGGACGGGUGAGUAAUGUCUGGGAAACUGCCUGAUGGAGGGGG
This 148-nucleotide ribosomal RNA is filed under the name Escherichia coli. RNAcentral's name for it is "partial 16S ribosomal RNA". It matches the Rfam family "Bacterial small subunit ribosomal RNA", at positions 1 to 142 of the family's 1533-position model. Lineage: Bacteria; Pseudomonadati; Pseudomonadota; Gammaproteobacteria; Enterobacterales; Enterobacteriaceae. RNAcentral also lists the same sequence under 2 other names. The record is from RNAcentral.